UUAGUUUAAUAAGUAGAGCGGUCGCCUGAGGCGACAUGUCGGGGGUUCAAAUCCCUCACCGACCA
RNAcentral lists this transfer RNA (65 nucleotides) under Candidatus Roizmanbacteria bacterium. Its description in RNAcentral is "tRNA-Ser". It matches the Rfam family "tRNA". Rfam says of the family: Transfer RNA (tRNA) molecules are approximately 80 nucleotides in length. Their secondary structure includes four short double-helical elements and three loops (D, anti-codon, and T loops). Lineage: Bacteria; Candidatus Roizmaniibacteriota. The record is from RNAcentral.